This 509-nucleotide ribosomal RNA is filed under the name uncultured soil bacterium. RNAcentral's name for it is "bacterial SSU rRNA". It matches the Rfam family "Bacterial small subunit ribosomal RNA", at positions 26 to 528 of the family's 1533-position model. The record is from RNAcentral.
AGGACGAACGCUGGCGGCGUGCUUAACACAUGCAAGUCACGGGGGUCCCGCAAGGGAUAACCGGUGAACGGGUGCGUAACACGUGAACAACCUGCCCUCGUGUGGGGGAUAGCCAUGCUAACGCGUGGGUAAUACCGCAUACGUUUCCUGAAGGGAGUCCUUUGGGAAGGAAAGCUCCGGCGCACGGGGAGGGGUUCGCGGCCUAUCAGCUAGUUGGCGGGGUAAUGGCCCACCAAGGCGACGACGGGUAGCUGGUCUGAGGAGGAUGGCCAGCCACAUUGGGACUGAGAGACGGCCCAGACUCCUACGGGAGGCAGCAGUGGGGAAUCGUGCGCAAGUGGCCGAAAGGCUGACGCAGCGACGCCGCGUGGUGGGAGGACGCCGUUUCGGGGUAGUAAACCGACGUGUUGGCCCGGGGACGUAAACGAGGUCCCGUUUUCGGAAGGGUUCUGGACGGUACCGGGUGAGGAAGCGACCGGCUAACCGUCCGUAGCCGAGCCGAAGCCGAC